This 465-nucleotide ribosomal RNA is filed under the name uncultured bacterium. RNAcentral's name for it is "partial 16S ribosomal RNA". It matches the Rfam family "Bacterial small subunit ribosomal RNA", at positions 28 to 507 of the family's 1533-position model. The record is from RNAcentral.
GACGAACGCUGGCGGCGUGCUUAACACAUGCAAGUCGAACGGAAAGGCCCCUUUGGGGGUACUCGAGUGGCGAACGGGUGAGUAACACGUGAGUAACCUGCCCUUGACUUCGGGAUAACUUCAGGAAACUGGGGCUAAUACCGGAUAGGAAUCCUUGCUGCAUGGUGGGGGUUGGAAAGCUUCGGCGGUUUUGGAUGGACUCGCGGCUUAUCAGCUUGUUGGUGGGGUAGUGGCUUACCCAGGCUUUGACGGGUAGCCGGCCUGAGAGGGUGACCGGCCACAUUGGGACUGAGAUACGGCACAGACUCCGAAGGGAGGCAGCAGUGGGGAAUAUUGCACAAUGGGCGGAGGCCUGAUGAAGCAAGGCCGCGGGCGGGAUGACGGCCUUCGCGUUGUAAACCGCUUUCAGCAGGGGAGAAGCUUGUGGUGACGGUACCUGCAGAAGAAGCACCGGCUAACUACGUG